Molecule: ribosomal RNA, 447 nt
Filed under: uncultured bacterium
Lineage: Bacteria
Description: bacterial SSU rRNA
Rfam family: Bacterial small subunit ribosomal RNA
Source: RNAcentral
UGGGGAAUCUUGGACAAUGGGCGCAAGCCUGAUCCAGCCAUGCCGCGUGAGUGACGAAGGUCUUCGGAUUGUAAAGCUCUUUUACCAGGGACGAUAAUGACGGUACCUGGAGAAUAAGCCCCGGCUAACUUCGUGCCAGCAGCCGCGGUAAUACGAAGGGGGCUAGCGUUGUUCGGAAUUACUGGGCGUAAAGCGCACGUAGGCGGAUUUGUAAGUCAGGGGUGAAAUCCCGGGGCUCAACCUCGGAACUGCCUUUGAUACUGCAAGUCUCGAGUCCGAUAGAGGUGAGUGGAAUUCCUAGUGUAGAGGUGAAAUUCGUAGAUAUUAGGAAGAACACCAGUGGCGAAGGCGGCUCACUGGUCCGGUACUGACGCUGAGGUGCGAAAGCGUGGGGAGCAAACAGGAUUAGAUACCCCAGUAGUCCCUGAGCGGGCUGGCAAGGCGCAU